CAAAAACUAUAGCUAAAAUGUGAAAGACCAAGAAAACUAAUUUUCUUGUCAAGAAUAUUUUUAUUCUUUUUCUGUAUCUCUCACGUUUUUUUCUUUUCUUUUUUCUGUAUCUCUCUCUCAAUUUUCUUGUUCCAAAAUUCUAAAUGAUAUGUGUAUAUAUAUACACAUAUUGAGUCAAAAAAGGAAGGAAAGAGUUGAAGACUUUCCAACUCAAAACCAAUUCCAUUUAGAAUUGUUUAGCCAACAUAUGUGAUUGGCCGACAUUCCAAAUGGAAUUCCAAUUCCAUUUCAUUCUGUCCAAUUCCAUUUCAUUCUGCCGAAUUUCAUUCUUCUUCCUUUUUUUUUUAAUUUAAUGAAAAAGUUUGGCCGACAAGAACAAUUUCAAACAAAAUUCCAUUUUGUUUGUUUGGCCGACAAGGCCAAUUCCAUACAAAAUGGAAUUUUGGUUUUACAUUUUUAAAUUAUAAAGAAAAAAACAUUCUUAUAUAUAUAUAUAUAUAUAUAUAUAUAUAUAUAUAUAU
This 521-nucleotide long non-coding RNA is filed under the name Nicotiana benthamiana. RNAcentral's name for it is "long non-coding RNA (NBEN_LNC002347)". Lineage: Eukaryota; Viridiplantae; Streptophyta; Magnoliopsida; Solanales; Solanaceae. The record is from RNAcentral.